UUUCCGUAGGUGAACCUGCGGAAGGAUCAUUAGUGAAUUGAAUAUGUUAGCGGACCUCUUCGGAAACGAAAGUGAUUAGAGCGCCUGCCCAUUUUAUACAAACAUUAAAGUAACAAACGUAGUCUUAUUAUAAUCUAAUAAAACUUUCAACAACGGAUCUCUUGGCUCUC
Molecule: unclassified non-coding RNA, 170 nt
Filed under: plant metagenome
Description: partial contains small subunit ribosomal RNA, internal transcribed spacer 1, and 5.8S ribosomal RNA
Source: RNAcentral